GCAUAUCUGAAGAACAUCACCAGCAACAAAUCUCUGGAGCUGGUUUGCAUUGAUUUCUUGUCUUUAGAAGUGGACAAGAGGAAUAUUGGGAACAUCCUAGUAGUGACCGACCAUUACACGCGAUAUGCGCAGGCAUAUCCCACACGUGAUCAGAGGGCCACCACUGUCGCUCGAGUACUGUGGGAAAAAUAUUUCUCAGUUUAUGGAUUCCCAGCCCGGAUACACUCGGAUCAGGGACGAGAUUUUGAGAGUCACCUUCUGAAGGAGGUGCUGAGGAUAGCAGGUAUUAAAAAGUCAAGGACAACGCCUUACCACCCGCAAGGUGACCCUCAGCCAGAGAGGUUCAACCGAACCCUAUUGGAUAUGUUAGGGACUUUGCGGCCAGAGCAGAAGGCAACCUGGAGCCAACAUGUUGCAUUUCUGGUGCACGCCUACAAUGCCACAAAGAACGAUGCUACGGGGGUCACCCCAUAUCUCUUGAUGUUUGGGCGAGAACCAAGACUACCCAUAGAUUUGUGCUUUGGUGUAUCAGAGGAUGGCAAUAGCUAUGAAACCCAUCAGCAAUAUGUAUCCCGACUACGAGAAAAGCUACGGGAUGCUUAUCACUUAGCUACGUCUGCAGCUCGGAAGAACGCAGACCGCAACAAACAGCGAUAUGAUGCUAGGGUGCGUCUGCAAGAGCUCCAGCCAGGGGACAGAGUCCUGCUGCGAAAUUUGGGUAUUGCUGGCAAACACAAGAUAGCUGACAGAUGGAAGGCAAUACCUUACUUAGUGAUGGAAAAGCUAGGAGACCUGCCGGUCUACAAGAUCAAACCUGAAGAGGGUCCAGGGCAGACCAAAACCGUGCAUAGAAACCUUUUGCUCCCUGUGGGAGAAUUGGUAGGCAGCCCUUAUGAGAUGGGCCACAACAGGGCAACUGGGCAGAACGAAGGUGCUGUACCAAAGCCGCCUUCCAACGUGGACAGCCGGCCUCCUGCAGCUAACCUACCCCUACUCAGCACAUCUGACAGUGAGUCUGAGGAGGAAGACACAACCAUGGUGUAUCCUGGGAUGAAGACAAGAUUUCAGUCUCGAUCCGCUGAAUCAGAAGAGAGCACAUCCUCUUCUGCCCUAAACCCUAUGGCAGAAGUAUUUAGGCCCAUUCCUGACAUCCCUGAGCCACUGGUGGGACCCCCGUGUAAUGACUUACACAGGCUAUUGGACAGUGGUGACAUACAGAUGGAGGAUGUCCAGAGCACCUGCGACCCUCCACUGUUAGAACUAGAAAUGCAGGGGCCUAUGCCAGUAUCUGAGGGGAACUCACAGGAAACCUCCCCAUCCGUCACUCAAGAGGAUGUCCCCUCUACCAUAGCAACAGAGAUUCUCAAUAGGCGAGACAGGGUAAUAAGACCAGUGAAACGGUUAACUUACGAUGCACCUGGGGUGAUUAGUGAGGAGCCUAUACAUUUAGCAUACAGGUUUGUGAAAGCUAAAGUGGGCUAUCUAAUGCCUUUUGGAGGGGACCAAUAAGUUGGUAUAGUAGGGAAUGUGAUUUGUCGGGACGACAAAUUCUUGGCUGGGGGGAGGAUGUAAGCAGAGUCAGGAUAAGCUCUACCCUGACAUCUGGUGGAAAGAAUUUCAGAGAGUGUAUUUGCAUAGGCACGCCUACCCUAUCCCAGACUGCUGAGCUGUGGGACUG
This is a long non-coding RNA of Gopherus agassizii (Agassiz's desert tortoise), 1678 nucleotides long. The record is from Ensembl. NCBI's taxonomy places the organism in Eukaryota, Metazoa, Chordata, Testudines, Testudinidae.